AUCCUUUUGUAGUUCAUAAGCAUGAUUGGGUGUUCACAUGCAUGUGUGAGACGUGCCUCCCUCAAACCUUGUUAUGAUGUUGGCACACAUCACCUGUCUGACA
Small nucleolar RNA from Lemur catta (Ring-tailed lemur), 103 nucleotides. RefSeq annotates it as small nucleolar RNA U13. The transcript has a single exon. Lineage: Eukaryota; Metazoa; Chordata; Mammalia; Primates; Lemuridae. The record is from RefSeq and is a predicted model, not a curated record.